CGUAGGGCGCGAGCGUUGUCCGGAAUUAUUGGGCGUAAAGGGCUUGUAGGCGGCUGGUCGCGUCUGCCGUGAAAUCCUCUGGCUCAGCUGGGGGCGUGCGGUGGGGUACGGGCUGGCUUGAGUGCGGUAGGGGAGACUGGAACUCCUGGUGUAGCGGUGGGAAUGCGCAGAUAUCAGGAGGAACACCGGUGGCGAAGGCGGGUCUCUGGGCCGUUACUGACGCUGAGGAGCGAAAGCGUGGGGGAGCGAACAGGAUU
RNAcentral lists this ribosomal RNA (257 nucleotides) under uncultured bacterium. RNAcentral's name for it is "partial 16S ribosomal RNA". It matches the Rfam family "Bacterial small subunit ribosomal RNA", at positions 526 to 779 of the family's 1533-position model. The record is from RNAcentral.